UUUUGACCUCAGCUCAGUCGUAACCACCCGCUGAAUUUAAGCAUAUAACUAAGCGGAGGAAAAGAAACUAACGAGGAUUCCUCUAGUAACGGCGAGUGAAUGGGGAAAAGCCCAGCGCUGAAUCCAUUGGCCACUGGUCGCUUGGAAUUGUAGCGUAUAGGUGCGGUUGUCCGUUUGUUUCGCGCACCCAAAGUCCCCUUGAGUGGGGCUAUAGUCCAAAGAAGGUGCUAGACCUGUACGGGUGGCGAGACGAUCGGUUGAUUGCUCCUUGGAGUCGGGUUGCCUGGGAUCGCAGCCCAAAGUUGGUGGUAGACCUCAUCUAAGGCUAAAUAUGGCCACGAAACCGAUAGCAAACAAGUACCGUGAGGGAAAGUUGCAAAGAACUUUGAAGAGAGAGUUCAAGAGGGCGUGAAACCGCUCCGCUGAGAUUGGAUAGAGUUGACUUAACUCGGCUGCAUUCAUCCGGUCGGUCUAGCGGUCCAAUGGUUUUGACUUCCUCGAAGAGGGCGAGGCGAUCGGCAACUGUUGGGCAUUUGAUCGGUGUAUUUGCGGCUGGUAUGCGCUGAGAGCUUUGCGAUCGCGUGUUGACAAACGUGCAGUGGACCAUUCCUUCCGGGCGUGGAAACCUUCGCGCUUUGAGACAUGUCGGUUGUAAGGUUUUGAAGAUGGCGUCUCCGCUAUGGUGCGUCAGCUUUUUCGAGCUGUUGUGGCUGCUGGAUGGUCGCAUGCGACUAUCUGCAGUCAUCGAUGGUGCGAGAUGAGUGUGGACGCGGCGAGGCGUUGAUCUCGGUGUGAACGUCGACCACCUAUCCGACCCGUCUUGAAACACGGACCAAGGAGUCUAGCAUAUGCGCAAGUCAUUGGGUGAUAAACCUAAAGGCGUAAUGAAAGUAAAAGUCGCCCAGAUGCGACCGAUAUGGGAUCCAUGCGGUUUUUGAAGCCGUACGGCGCACCAUAGCCCCGUCCCCGUUGCUUGCAAUAGGGCGGAGGUAGAGCGCAUACGCUGGUACCCGAAAGAUGGUGAACUAUGCCUGAGCAGGAUGAAGCCAGAGGAAACUCUGGUGGAAGUCCGAAGCGGUUCUGACGUGCAAAUCGAUCGUCUGACUUGGGUAUAGGGGCGAAAGACUAAUCGAACCAUCUAGUAGCUGGUUCCCUCUGAAGUUUCCCCCAGGAUAGCUGGAGUUCGUGUUGUGCAGUUAUAUUCGGUAAAGCGAAUGAUUAGAGGAAUUGGGGACGAAACGACCUCAACCUAUUCUCAAACUUUCAAUGGGUAUGAAGUCCCGCUUGCUUGACGUUGCUGAAGCGUGGACAUUGAAUGUGAGCUCCAAGUGGGCCAUUUUUGGUAAGCAGAACUGGCGCUGUGGGAUGAACCAAACGUCGGGUUAAAGUGCCAAACUUCCCGCUCAUGAGACCCCAUGAAAGGCGUUGGUUGAUAUAGACAGCAGGACGGUGGCCAUGGAAGUCGGAAUCCGCUAAGGAGUGUGUAACAACUCACCUGCCGAAUCAACUAGCCCUGAAAAUGGAUGGCGCUUGAGCGUGAGACUUAUACCCGACCGUUGCUUAGCUUGUGCGUUUUUCGUAUGAGAGAUUCGCCUGGCCGCAACGAGUAAGAGGGUCUCAGUGGUUUGCGUUGAAGGCUUUGAGCGUAGGCCCGGCUGGAGCUUCCACUGGUGCAGAUCUUGGUGGUAGUAGCAAAUAUUCAAGUGAGAUCCUUGAAGACUGAAGUGGAGAAGGGUUCCACGUGAACAGCAGUUGAAUGUGGGUCAGUCGGCCCUAAGAAACUGGCUAAUGCCAUGUGUUAUCGAGAGGCGGAGUUCAAAUCCAUCUCGUCUAUCGAAAGGGAAACGGGUUAAUAUUCCCGUACCUGGACACGGAGAUAAGCGCUCAUUGCGAGCGUUUAGCGCGGCAACGCAAACGAACUCGGUAACGCUGAAUAGAGCCCGAGCUAGAGUUCUCUUUUCUAGUUAAGGAACGAAUUCCCUGGAAUCGGUUCAGCCGGCGAUAGGGAUGUUGUUUCCGUAAAGCGCCACGGUUCCUGUGGUGUCUCGUGCGCUCUAUUCGGCCCUUGAAAAACCGAGGGAGGCUAUUUGAAUUUCGUGCCAGGCCGUACCGAUAUCCGCAGCAGGUCUCCAAGGUGAACAGCCUCUAGUCGAUAGAAUAAUGUAGGUAAGGGAAGUCGGCAAAUUAGAUCCGUAACUUCGGGAAAAGGAUUGGCUCUAAGGACUGGGCCGGUCGGGCUGCAGUGUGAAGUGAGCUCGGUUUGAUCCAUGCAGUGCAACGCUCGGCAACGGGUGGCGCUCGGCUAGCGUUCGAACUGUCUCGUGGACCGCUGCAGCUGCGUGCCGCGUCCUCGCGGGCGUUGGUGCUUCGGCCGGCGCUAAACAGUCGACUUAGAACUGGCACGGACUCGGGGAAUCCGACUGUCUAAUUAAAACAGAGGAGACAGAUGGCCCUUGCGGGCGUUGACUGUCUCUGAUUUCUGCCCAGUGCUCUGAAUGUAAAAGUGAAGAAAUUCAACCAAGCGCGGGUAAACGGCGGGAGUAACUAUGACUCUCUUAAGGUAGCCAAAUGCCUCGUCAUCUAAUUAGUGACGCGCAUGAAUGGAUUAACGAGAUUCCCACUGUCCCUAUCUACUAUCUAGCGAAACCACAGCCAAGGGAACGGGCUUGGCGAACACAGCGGGGAAAGAAGAAAUAUUUUCGAGAGUUGAAGGGAAUGAAAAGAAAAGUAACACAUGGAAACUCAUAUACGAUUUAACCUCAAUUAUAACUUAGUAAUUUUUUAAUUCGUUUAGUUUGGGAUGAUGGCUAUGUGUCGAAGUGAGAUUUCAAAUUGUUCUGUUUCUUCGCGAUUGUUUUGAUGUCGAUAAAUAUUUCGGCUUCUAAUAACUUCCUUUCUCUAGCUAUGUGAAAAAGAGAUUUUUGAAUACACAAUAGUGUAGUUGAUAGAAGUUGAGCACUGAGAAUUGUACUAGUGUGAAAGCGAAACAUAUACGUUCCAUGAUAUCUAAAUAUGUGUGAUAAAGAACGUAUAGUAAUGAAUAAUUUGCUUUCAUAAAUUCAACAGCGGAAAUUUGAUUUGUUCUAUUUUUUGAA
Molecule: ribosomal RNA, 3095 nt
Filed under: Toxocara canis (dog roundworm)
Lineage: Eukaryota; Metazoa; Nematoda; Chromadorea; Rhabditida; Toxocaridae
Description: eukaryotic LSU rRNA
Rfam family: Eukaryotic large subunit ribosomal RNA
Source: RNAcentral